GAGACAUUCAAGGGUACUGACUAUUUUGGUUUGCUGAUUCUUGAGUGGCAGCUGAAUCAAGAAACUUGAUCUCUUUCUGAAGAAACCCCUCUUCUUUGUGUGUGAGGACAUUUGGUUUGUGCUUGGAGACAGUCAGUUCAUGGUCUUCAACAUGACACUUUCCCCAAAGUCAUGAACACAGACAGUUCCUGUACAAAGAGCCCUGGUGAUGUUUUUAAACAAGAGAUGAUGUCCAAGUCCUUCAAGGAUAUUUCCAAAUACUUCUCUGAGGAAGAAUGGGCAAAGCUGACCAAAUGGCAGAAAAGUGCCUACAUGUUUAUGAAAAGAAACUACAUCAGAAUGACAGACCUAGGUGUCAUGGUCAACCAACCAGUUUUCAUGCGUAGAAAGGAUCAGAUCACAGAAUCCUUAAUGAAGGAAUCUGAUGAAGGUGAACACUAUAAACAGAUAUUUGGCAUGGAGCAUACUAAGGGCCUGAAGUUGUGCAUGGAUUCUCUACACCAUGAAUGAACAAGAUGAAAGAAAUACAGCUCAUGAUUAAUGGCUUAUGACUCCCCUUGACCGAAGAAGAGUUGGAACAGGUACCCGUUUGUCUAAUUCCAUAUACAGUGUUCUCAUCAGGAUUAGGAUUGUUGACACACCCAUUACCUCACUCUUUGAUGCCUAGAUUAUUGUGGCUCAUUUUUUUCCUCCUUUCCCUACAUCAUCUCCACACACAAUCCUGGUAUACAAUGCUUUCUCCUUUCUUGCAUUUACUUUAUUGUCUAUGCAGUGUUCCACAAGCUUCUGUGUAGAAGACCUGUCCUUUUGAUACUCUGUGUUUUUCCAUUUUCUCUCUUUACCAAAUUUUAUGUAGAUCACACUCCCAGUUAUAUGAACAUCACUAAAGUUUUCCUUAAAAUUUGUCUAGAAAAAAAGAUAAAGAACAUUUUAGUUCUGGGAAAUGUGAUUUAGUCCAUUCUUUACACAUGUAAGCUUCUGUUUUACUCUGUAUUUAGGCACAAUGAUGAAAUAACCUCCCAGAUAUAAGAAAGCACAUUAAUAAAAUAUAGGAAGGGGACCUGAACAUCAACACUCUGAUAUGGAAAGAGGCACAGGCCAGGCUCCAUAGAUCGAAACAGAUUACAGAUAGUUUAAAAGUUUCUUUUUCUUUAAUCUUUAUUAACUUGAGAAUGUAUUAUUUACAUUUCGAUUAUUAUUCCCCUUCCCAGUUUCUGGGCCAACAUCCCCAUAACCCCUCUCCAUCCCCUUCUACAUGGGCUUCCCCUCCGCUUCCCCCCCAUUACCACCUUCCCCCAAAAAUCACGUUCACUGGGGAUUCAGUCUUAGCAGGACCAAGGGCUUCCCCUUCCACUGGUGCUCUUACUAGGCUAUUCAUUGCUACCUAUGAGGUUGGAGUCCAGGGACAGUCCAUGUAUAGUCUUUGGGUAGUAGCUUAGUCCCUGGUUGGUUGGCAUUGUUUUUCAUAUGGGGACUCAAUCCCUUGAAGCUCUUUCAGACCUUUCUCUGAUUCCUUCAAUGGGGGUCCUGAUCUAUGUUCACUGGAUUGCUGCUGGCAUUCGCCUAUGUAUUUGCUGUAUUCUGGCCCGCUUCUCAGGAGAGAUCUACAUCCAGUUUCUGUCAGCCUGCACUUCUUUGCUUCAUCCAUCUUAUCUAAUUGGGUCGCUGUAUAUGUAGGGGCAACAAGUGGGGCAGGCUCUGAAUGGGUGUUCCUUCUGCCUCUGUUCUAAACUUUGCCUCCAAAUUCACUGCCAAGGGUUUUCUUGUUACCCUUAUGUUUGUUUGCUUGUUUGUUUGUUUGUUUUCCCAUUUUCUUUCUUUUUUUUUAUUAACUUGAAUAUUUCUUAUUUACAUUUCGAGUGUUAUUCCCUUUCCCGGUUUCCGGGCAAACAUCCCCCUAAUCCCUACCCCUGCCCUUCUUUAUGGAUUCCCUUCCCCAUCCUCCCUCCAUUGCCGCCCUCCCCCCAACAAUCUAGAUCACUGGGGGUUCAGUCUUAGCAGGACCCAGGGCUUCCCCUUCCACUGGUGCUCUUCCUAGGAUAUUCACUGCUACCUAUGAGGUCAGAGUCCAGGGUCAGUCCAUGUAUAGUCUUUAGGUAGAGGGUUAGUCCCUGGAAGCUCUGGUUGCUUGGCAUUGUUGUACAUAUGGGGUCUCGAGCCCCUUCAAGCUCUUCCAGUUCUUUCUCUGAUUCCUUCAACGGGGGUCCUAUUCUCAGUUCAGUGGCUUGCUGCUGGCAUUCGCCUCCGUAUUUGCUGUAUUCUGGCUGUGUCUCUCAGGAGCGAUCUACAUCCGGCUCCUAUGGGCCUGCACUUCUUUGCUUCAUCCAUCUUGUCUAAUUGGAUGGCUGUAUAUGUAUGGGCAACAUGUGGGGCAGGCUCUGAAUGGAUGUUCCUUCUGUGUCUGUUUUAAUCUUUGCCUCUCUCUUCCCUGCCAAGGGUAAUCUUGUUCCCCUUUUAAAGAAGGAGUGAAGCAUUCACAUUUUGAUCAUCCAUCUUGAGUUUCAUUUGUUCUAGGCAUCUAGGGUAAUUCAAGCAUUUGGGCUAAUAGCCACUUAUCAAUGAGUGCAUACCAUGUGCGUUUUUCUGUGAUUGGGUUACCUCACUCAGAAUGAUAAGGAGUGAAGCAUUCGCAUUUUGGUCAUCCUUCUUGAGUUUCAUGUGUUCUGUGCAUCUAGGGUAGUUCAAGCAUUUGGGCUAAUAGCCACUUAUCAAUGAUUGCAUACCAUGUGUGUUUUUCUGUGAUUGGAUUACCUCACUCAGGAUGAUAUUUUCCAUUUCCAUCCAUUUGCCUAUGAAUUUCAUAAUGUCAUUGUUUUUGAUAGCUGAGUAAUAUUCCAUUGUGUAGAUGUACCAUAUUUUCUGUAUCCAUUCCUCUGUUGAAGGGCAUCUGGGUUCUUUUCAGCUUCUGGCUAUUAUAAAUGAGGCUGCUAUGAACAUAGUGGAGCAUCUGUCUUUGUAAUAUGUUGGGGCAUCUUUUGGGUAUGUGACCAAGAGAGGAAUACCUGGGUCUUCAGGUAGUUCAAUGUCCAAUUUUAUGAGGAACCUCCAGAUUGAUUACCAGAAUGGUUGUACCAGUCUGCAAUCCCACCAACAAUGGAGGAGUGUUCAUCUUUCUACACAUCCUCGCCAGCAUUUGCUGUCACCUGAGUUUUUGAUCUUAGCCAUCCUCACUGGUGUGAGGUGAAAUCUCAGGGUUGUUUUGAUUAGCAUUUCCUUAUGACUAAAAAUGUUGAACAUUUCUUUAGGUGUUUCUCCGCCAUUCGGCAUUCCUCAGCUGUGAAUUCUUUGUUUAGCUCGGAACACAAUUUUUUAAUAAGGUUAUUUGUCUCCCUGCGGUAUACUUCUUGAGUUCUUUGUAUAUUUUGGAUACAAGCCCUCUAUCAGCUGUAGGAUUGGUAAAGAUCUUUUCCCAAUCUGUUGGUUGCCCUUUUCUCCUAACAACAGUGUCCUUUACCUUACAGAAGCUUUGCAGUUUUAUGAGAUCCCAAUUGUAGAUUCUUGAUCUUAGAGCAUAGGCCAAUGGAGUUUUGUUCAGGAAAUUUUCUCCAGUGCCCAUGUGUUCCAGAUGCUUCCCCACUUUUUCUUCUAUUAGUUUCAGUAUCUGGUGUGAUGUGGAGGUCCUUGAUCCACUUGGACUUAAGUUUUGUACAGGGUGAUAAGCAUGCAUCAAUCUGCAUUCUUUUACAUGUUGACCUCCAGUUGAACCAGCACCAUUUGCUGAAAAUGCUAUAGUUUUUCCAUUGGAUGGUUUUGAGUGACCAUAGGUUCAUUUCUGGGUCUUCAAUUCUAUUCCACUGGACUAUCUGUCUGUCUCUGUACCAAUACCAUACAGAUUUUAUCACUAUUGCUCUGUAAUACUGCUUGAGUUCAGGGAUAGUGAUUCCCCAGGAAAUCCUUUUAUUGUUGAGGAUAGUUUUAGCUAUCCUGGUUUUUUUCUUAUUCCAGAUGAAUUUGCAAAUUGUUCUACCUAGCUCUCUGAAGAACUGGAUUGGUAUUUUGAUGGGGAUUUCAUUGAAUCUGUAGAUCGCUUUUGGUAAUAUGGUCAUUUUUACUAUAUUAAUCCUGCCAAUUCAUGAGGAUGGGAGAUCUUUCCAUCUUCUGAGAUCUUCAAUUUCUUCCUUUAGAGGCUUGUAGUUCUUAUCAUACAGAUCUUUUACUUGCUUGGUUAAAGUCACACCGAGGUAUUUUAUAUUAUUUGGGACUAUUAUGAAGGGUGUCGUUUCCCUAAUUUCUUUCUUGGCUUGCUUUUUGUGUAGAGGAAGGCUACUGAUUUAUUUGAGUUAAUUUUAUACCCAGCCAUUUUGCUGAAGGUGUUUAUCAGGUUUAGUAGUACUCUGGUGGAACUUUUGGGAUCACUUAAAUAUACUAUCAUAUCAUCUGCAAAUAGUGAUAUUUUGACUUCUUCUUUUCCAAACUGUAUCCCCUGGAUCUCCUUUUGUUGUCUGACUGCUCUGGCUAGAACUUCAAGAACUAUAUUCAGUAAGUAGGGAGAGAGGGGGCAGCCUUGUUUAGUCACUGAUUUUAGUGGGAUUGCUUCAAGUUUCUCUCCAUUUAGUUUAAUGUUAGCUAUUGGUUUGCUGUAUAUGGCUUUUACUAUCUUUAAGUAUGGGCCUUGAAUUCCUAUUCUUUCCAGGACUUUUAUCAUGAAGGAGUGUUGAAUUUUGUCAAAUGUUUGCUCAGCAUCCAGGGAAAUGAUCAUGUGGUUUUUCUCUUUCAUUUUGUUUAUAUAGUGAUUUAUGUUGAUGGCUUUCUGUAUAUUAAACCAUCCCUGCAAGCCUGGGAUGAAGCCUACUUGAUCAUGAUGGAUGAUUGUUUUGAUGUGCUCUUGGAUUUGGUUGCGAGAUUUAUAUUGAGUAUUUUUGAAUCGAUAUUCAUAAGGGAAAUUGGUCUGAAGUUUUCUUUCUUUGUUGGGUCUUUGUGUGGUUUAGGUAUAAGAGUAAUUGUUUCUUCAUAGAAGGAAUUCAGUAGCGCUCCAUCUGUUUCAAUUUUGUGGAAUAGUUUAGAUAGUAUUGGUAUGAGGUCUUCUAUGAAGAUCAGAUAGAAUUCUACACUGAACCCACCUGGAUCUGGGCUGUUUUUGGUUGGGAGACCUUUAAUGACUGAUUCUAUUUCUUUAGGAGUUUGGGGUUGUUUAAAUGGUUUAUCUUUCCCUGAUUUAACUUCGGUACCUAGUAUCUGUCUAGGAAAUUGUUCAUUUCCUGCAGAUUUUUAUGUUUUGUUGAAUAUAGAGUUUUGUACUAGGAUCUGAUGAUUUUUUGAAUUUCCACUCGAGCUGUAGUUAUGUCUCCCUUUUCAUUUCUGAUUUUGUUAAUUUGGACACACUCUCUGUGUUCUCUCAUUAGUGUGACUAAGGGUUUAAUCUAUCUUUUUGUUUUUCUCAAAGAACCAACUUUUGGUUCUGUUGCUUCUUUAUGUAGUCCUUUUUGUUUCUACUUGGUUGGUUUCAGCUCUGAGUUUGAUUAUUUCCUGCCUUCUACUCCUUCUGGGUGUACUCUUCUUUUUGUUCUAGAGCUUUUAUGUGUGCUGUCAAGCUGCUGAUAUAUGCUCUCUCAUGUUUUUUUCUGAAGGCACUCAGAGAUAUGAGUUUUCCUCUUAGCACAGCUUUUAUUGUAUCCUAUAAGUUUGGGUAUGUUGUACCUUCAUUUCCAUUAAAUUCUAAGAAGUCUUUAAUUCCUUUCUUUAUUUCUUCCUUGACCAGGUUAUCAUUGAGUAAGCAUUGUUCAAUUUCGAUAUAUAUGUUGGCAUUCUUUCCUUUUUGUUGCUGAAGACCAGCUUCAGGCCUUGGUGGUCUGAUAGGACAUGUGGGAUUAUUUCUAUCUUUCUGUAUCUAUUGAGGCCUGUUUUCUGACCAAUUAUAUGGUCCAUUUUGGAGAAAGCACCAUGAGGUGGUGAGAAGAAGGUAUAUCCUUUUGUUUUAGGAUAGAAUGUUCUAUAAAUAUGUGUUAAGUCCAUUUGGUUCAUGACUUCUCUUAGUCUGUCUAUGUCUCUGUUUAAUUUCUGUUUCCAUGACAUGUCCAUUGAUGAGAGUGGGGUGUUGAAAUCUCCAACUAUUAUUGUGUGAGGCGAAAUGUGUGCUUUAGGCUUUAGUACAUUUUCUUUUAUGUUUGUAGUUGCCCUUGUAUUUGGAGCAUACUUAUUUAGGAUUGAGAGUUCGUCUUGGUCAAUUUUUCCUUUGAUGAAUAUCAAGUGUCCUUCCUUAUCUUUUCUGAUGACUUUUUGUUGAAAACUGAUUUUAUUCCAUUCUAGAAUGGCUACUCCAGCUUGCUUCUUCAGACUAUUUGUUUGGAAAGUUUUUUUCCAACCUUUCACUCUGAGGUAGUGUCUGUCUUUGUCUCUGAGGUGUGUUUCCUGUAGGCAGCAGAAUGCAUGGUCCUCAUUGCAUAUCCAGUUGGGGAGCUGAGUCCAUUGAUGUCGAGAGAUAUUAAGGCAUAGUGAUUGUUGCUUUCUGUUAUAUUCAUAUUUGGAUGUGAGACUAUGUUUGUGUGCUUUUCUUCUCUUUCUUUUGUUGCCAAAACGAUUAGUUUCUUGCUUUUUCUAGGGUGUAGCUUGCCUCCUUCUUUUGAGCUUUAUCAUUUAUUAUCGUUUGUAGGGCUGGAUUUGUAAAAAGAUAUUGUGUAAAUUUGGUUGUGUCAUGGAAUAUCUUGGUAUCUCCGUCUAUGUUAAUUGAGAGUUUUGCUGGAUACAGUAACCUGGGCCGGCAUUUCUGUUCUCUUAGGCUCUGUAUGACUUCUGUCCAGCAUCUUCUGGCUUUCAUAAUCUCUGGUGAGAAGUCUGGUGUGAAUCUGAUAAGUCUGCCUUUAUAUGUUACUUGACCUUUUUGCCUUACUGCUUUUAAUAUUCAUUCCUUGUUUUGUGCAUUUGGUGUUUUGACUAUUAUGUGACUUGGUGAGCUUUUUUUGUUGAUCCAAUCUAUUUGGGGUUCUGCAAGCUUCUUGUAUGUUUAUUGGUAUCUCUUUCUUUAGGUUAGGGAGGUUUUCUUCUAUGAUUUUGUUGAAGAUAUUUAUUGGUCCUUUGGGCUGGGAGUCUUCACUCUCUUCUAUGUCUAUUAUCCUUUGGUUUGAUCUUCUCAUUGAGUCCUGGAUAUCCUGUAUGUUUUGAACCAGUACAUUUUUGCGUUUUACAUUAUGUUUGACAGUUUUGUCGAUGAUUUCUAUGGAAUCUUCUGCUCCUGAGAGUCUCUCUUCUCUCUCUAGUAUUUUGUUGGUGAUUUUUGUAUAUACAUUUCCUUGUCUUUUCCUUUGGUUUUCUAUAUCCAUGGUUGUUUCCCUUUGUGCUUUCUUUAUUUCUUCUAUUUCCAUUUUCAAUUCCUUCACCUGUUUGGUUGUGUUUUCCUGGAAUUCUUUCAGGGAUUUUUGUGAUUCCUCUUUGUAGACUUCUACUUGUUUAUUUAUGUUUUCCUCCAUUUCUCUAAGGGAGUUCUUUAUGUCUUCUUGAAGUCCUCCAUCAUCAUGAUCAAAUGUGAUUUUAAAUCUAGAUCUUGCUUUUCUGGUGUGUUUGGAUAUUCAGUGUUUGCUUUGAUGGGAGAAUUGGGAUCCAAUGAUGCCCUGUAGUCUUGCUUUCUGUUGCUUGGGUUCCUGCACUUGCCUCUCGCCAUCAGAUUUUCUCUGGUGUUACCUUGUUCUGCUAUUUCUGACAGUGGCUAUACAGGCCUGUGUGUGAGGAAAUCUGUAGACCUGUUUUCCUGUUUGCUUUCAGCCAAGUAUGGGAAGAGAGUUUUCUGCUUUCAGGCAUGUAGUCUUUCCUGUCUACUGGUCUUUAGCUGUUCCUGUGGGCGUGUGUUCUGAGUCCACCAGGCAGGUCACUUGGAGCAGAAAAGUUGGUCUUACCUGUGGUCCCAUUGCUGAAGUUGCUCCUGAUGGGCUGCUUUUGAGCUCUCUGUGAAGGUGGCAACCAGGGGGCCUGUGCUGCCUUUUCCUGGUUUCCCCAUGCACUGUGGUCCCAGAUGGUGUUAGGUGUUUUCCUCUGGAGUCAGAAGUGUGGGCAAAGUGUAAUCUCUUCUGGCUUCCCAGGCGUGUCUGCCCCUCUGAACGUUUAGCUCUCCCUUCCAUUGGAUUUGGGUGCAGGGAGCUGUUGAUUGGUUCCCUUCAGGUCCAGGCAGUGUCUGGACUGCAGAGGACCUGCCAGUUGAGUGCCCCUAUCUUCCGGGUCUCAUAGGCCCUACACCCAUUUUUACUAUAUUAAUCCUGCCAAUCCAUGAUUAUUGGUGAUCUUUCUAUCUUCUGAGAUCUUCUUUGAUUUCUUUCUUCAGAGACUUAAAUUUCUUUUCAUAUAGAUCUUCCACUUGCUUGCUUAAAGUCAAAACAAGAUAUUUUACAUUAUUUGGGACUAUUGUGAAGGGUGUCUUUUCCCUAAUUUCAUUCUUACCCUGUUUAUUCUUUCAGUAGAGGAAAGCUAUUGAUUUGUUUGAGUGAACUUUAGACCCAGCCACUUUGCUGAAGUUGUUUAUCAAGUUUAAUAGUUCUCUGUUGUAACUUUUGGGAUCACUUAAUUAUCCCAUGAUAUCAUCUACAAAUAGUGAUAUUUUGACUUCUUCCCUUCCAAUUUGUAUCCGUUUGACCUCCUUUCAUUGUCUGAUUGAACUGGCUAGGACAUUGAGCAGUAUAUUGAAUAAGUAAAAAAAAAAAAAUACCUUGUCUAGUCCCUGAUUUUAGUGGGAUUGCUUCAAGUUUCUUUCCAUCUAGUUUGAUGUUAGCUACUGGGUUGCCAGAUAUUGUUUUUGCAAUGUUUACGUAUGGACUUGAGUUCCUGAUAUUUCCAGAACUUUUAGCAAGAAGGGGUGUUGAAUUUUAUUAAAUGCUUUCUUAGAGUCUAAUGAAAGGAUCAAGUGUUUUUUAUCUUUGAGUUUGUUUGUAUGAUGGAUUAUGUUGAUGGAUUUCCAUAUAUUAAACAAUCCUGGCAUCCCUGGGAUAAAGCCUACUUGACCAUGAUGGAUGAUCAUUUUCAUGUAUUUUUGGAUUCAGUUUGCAAGAAUUUUAUUGAGUAUAUAAGGGAAAUUGGUAUGAAGUUCUCUUUCUUUGUUGGGUCUUUGGGUGUUUAGGUAUAAGAGUAAUUGUGACUUCUUAGAAGGAAUUUGAUAGCACUCUGUUUCUGUUUUGUGGAAUAGUUUUGACAGUAUUGGUAUGAAGUCUUCUAUGAAGGUCUGACAGAAUUCUGCACUAAACCCAUCUAGUCCUGGGCUCCUUUUGGUUGGGAGAAUUUUUUUUUAUCUUUAUUAACUUGAGUAUUUCUUAUUUCAUUUCGAUUGUUUUUCCCAUUCCCGGUUUCCAGGCCAACAUUCCCCUAGCCCCUCCCCCUCCCCUUAUUGGUGUUCCCCUCCCCAUCCUCCCCCCAUUACUACCCUCCCCCCA
Molecule: non-coding RNA, 9347 nt
Organism: Rattus norvegicus (Norway rat)
Lineage: Eukaryota; Metazoa; Chordata; Mammalia; Rodentia; Muridae
Source: RefSeq, a predicted model, not a curated record